UACAGAGGGUGCGAGCGUUAAUCGGAAUUACUGGGCGUAAAGCGUGCGUAGACGGCUAUUUAAGUCGGGUGUGAAAGCCCCGGGCUCAACCUGGGAAUUGCAUUCGAGACUGAAUAGCUAGGGUACGGUAGAGGGAAGUGGAAUUUCCGGUGUAGCGGUGAAAUGCGUAGAUAUCGAGAGGAACACCGGUGGCGAAGGCGGCCAACUGGACGAAUACUGACGCUGAGACUCGAAAGCGUGGGGAGCAAACAGG
RNAcentral lists this ribosomal RNA (253 nucleotides) under uncultured bacterium. RNAcentral's name for it is "partial 16S ribosomal RNA". It matches the Rfam family "Bacterial small subunit ribosomal RNA", at positions 524 to 776 of the family's 1533-position model. The record is from RNAcentral.